Long non-coding RNA from Gorilla gorilla gorilla (western lowland gorilla), 1628 nucleotides. RefSeq lists it as uncharacterized. The transcript is spliced from 3 exons. Lineage: Eukaryota; Metazoa; Chordata; Mammalia; Primates; Hominidae. The record is from RefSeq and is a predicted model, not a curated record.
UACGGAUUCGGGGUUUCGCCCCAGCAGGGGUGCGUCCUUCCAACCCACGCCGGGGUGGCUGCGGCCCCUUAUCCAGCAACGGUCGCCGCUCCGAGGGCUGCCCUGACGCCCAGACCGGCCUCGAUUCGGUCCUUGGUCCCAACCCCGGGACCUCCACCGACCCGGACCCAGACCUCGAGCUGCGCUGUCUGGCCCCGGCCCGGCUCCGGCUACCCCUCCGACUCUGACCGACCCCGCUCGGACUCCCGGCCCGACUCCGGGUAGUCGCCCAGUCCCUCUUCCUGGGCGCCAACUUCAGCUCCCGCUUCGCCCCAGGCUCGGGUCCGGCUGCCCCACGACCUUAGAGGAACAGAAACUCAUUUCCAGGAAGCACAGGCGGGACAGCAGGUGAAAAAGCCGCUGCGGGGAGCAGAUCUCCGCCCCACCCGACGGUUUCCUGGAGGCAUUCUAGGGGAGUCUGUUUGAGCUCUGGCGGCGCGCCCCGACCCGGAGGCGGCGUUGGGAGCACGUGGCUGGCCCGGAUGCCCAACAAAUCUUAAAUGUGUUUGAGGCGUGCCUGGGCUCUCAGGGGUUCAGCAAACACAAGGAACGCUUCUUCAGGGCCAUCAGAUGUGUGCUUAUCCUACGGGACUCGCAAUUUAUUGGGAGAAUUUGGUGUUUCUCUCAUACACAAAUAACAGAAAUUCCACAUGUCCUGAGUGACAGAUAUUACCUUUCUUGGGGUUCACCCAGUAGCAGUUUCAGGGAAGAAAACUUGGUACGUAGGGGCAUUUUCUAUUUGAUACUCCCUAAAGUCACAGAAAUCAUGGGCCUGCCCACAAAAAAAAACACAAGAAGAUGAGGUGAAAAAUUCCUAGGCCCUGCCGUGCAGCCACAGAAAAUAGGAACCUGCCUGACUGUGGACAUCAAAUGAAUUUCAAGGCCUGGAACCUGGAUAGCAUGGUUCACUGAGUCUAAGAAUGAUCACCUUAUAUGGUAGUAUAAGUUGUUGCUGAGCUGAUAUAACUGGGAAUAUAGAAGGCAGGGAGCCUGUCAUUCUCUGCCUCUUUGACCUGGUAGAUACCUUGCUGUGCAGAGCUGGCAAGAAUGCAAACUUUAUGUGUAUUCUGGGACAUACAAGGGAGGCAAUGGGAAGCAAUAUUUAUCCUCCUGCAUCUCUAUCUUGUUUAUAUUCUUUGCUCUGUUUCUUAGUUCAUCCAAAACUAAACCAAAGUAAAAUCAACUUGAAUGAAAUCCAAGUCUUUAUUCUCUCCAUUCCCCAAACCUAGGCCAGAUUCUAUGGUCUGAUUUUCAGCUUACAUUCUAUUGUCCAGCUCUGUUUUUACAGUAAACACACACAUUUAAUAAAAGGUGACAAUUUGUGCACAGCGAGUAUUAUUUUAAGGGAAGCUAUGGGAAUAUACUCUUGGCCUCAAAGAGCUGACUGUCUAGUGAGGGAGAUAAAAAGUGUAAAAACCACUACUAUCUCUAAAGUCAAGACAAAAUUAGAGGGUCUAAGACCUAUGGUAAACUAGAGGAUGUUCAAUCCAAUAGAUGUAAUAGUGUAGAAAUAGGCCUUUUCAAAUUAUAUGUAUAUAUUUUUUGUUUGUUUGUUUAUUUGUUUUUGAGAUGCAGUCUCGCUGUGUCAC